This is a long non-coding RNA of Daphnia magna, 763 nucleotides long. RefSeq lists it as uncharacterized. The transcript is spliced from 3 exons. The record is from RefSeq and is a predicted model, not a curated record. Lineage: Eukaryota; Metazoa; Arthropoda; Branchiopoda; Diplostraca; Daphniidae.
UCCACAGGGCAGCUGUCCGCAGUCCGUGUAUUGUACGGGGAUACAGCAUUCCAUAUAGACAUGUCUAUUUGUUAUGGUAAGGCAGAAAAUCGUUUGAAAUUUAAUAUUGGAUAUGGGCAUGAAGUCCGCAGAUACCAGUCCGCAGUUUAUCCUGCCCGGUGCGCACUUUCAAUCGCUCCAUUGCGCAGGUGAAAGUCAGCAGUUUCUCCUUUCCGCAGUCCGCGGUCCACGUCCGCAUUUUAUCCUGGCCCCUUUUCCUCGUUGGACAAGUUGCAAGAAUGCGUAUGACCGAACAGCGCCACAAUUAUACAGCGUCAUUCUCACGAACUACUGAAACAAAAGAAUGUCGCAUUUCGGCGCCAAACUUGAACCGUCAUGUUCUUAUCAGAACUUAAAAACACAGCAUAAAAAAGUAUUUACUCUUAACAGUUGCAUCUUAGUACAUGGCAACAGACAGCAUUGUUGUGCAAAUUUAUUUUGCGUUGGGUCUUUCAAUGAUAUUUUAUUUCUAAAAUAUCGAUUCGGCAUUCAGCCUUUGCCUAUCACAAUUUAAAAAUUUAAAGUAUGAUGUUUACCGCGGUAUUUGGAAUUAGGUUACUUUGUAUCAUAAAAUUCUUUUGACCGACUUGUUGUUACUAUUCAGUAUGACACGUACUUGUUUUUAUUUUAAAGAAUUACUGCGCGAGUAAUCUAGAUGUACUACGCUGAAUGUAUGGUACUAUGGUUCGAAUCCUGAAAAAUACAAAAUAACUUUUCAGCGUAA